This 627-nucleotide long non-coding RNA is filed under the name Nicotiana tabacum (common tobacco). Its description in RNAcentral is "long non-coding RNA (NTAB_LNC017897)". The record is from RNAcentral. Lineage: Eukaryota; Viridiplantae; Streptophyta; Magnoliopsida; Solanales; Solanaceae.
GCCUGAUGCCAAAACUUGAAAUGUAUUCCCUUGUUUUACAAGUGGUCGCCUUAUGUCGAAACUUGAAAUGUAUUCCCUUGUUUUCCAUGUGGGCGCCUGAUGUCGAAACUUGAAAUGUAUUCCCUUGUUUUCCAUGUGGGCGCCUGAUGCCAAAACUUGAAAUGUAUUCCCUUGUUUUCCAGGUGAGCGCCUGAUGCCGAAACUUGCAAUGUAUUCCCUUGUUUCCUAGGUGGGCGCCUGAUGCCAAAACUUGAAAUGUAUUCCCUUGUUAUCCAGGUUGGCUCCUGAUGCCAAAAUUUAAAAUGUAUUCCCUUAUUAUCUAGGUGGGGGCCUAAUGCCAAAACAUGAAAUAUGUUUCGUUGUUAUCAAGGGGGGCGCCUGAUGCCAAAUCGUGAAAUGUAUUCCCUUGUUAUCCAGGUGGGCGCCUAAUGCCAAAUCGUGAAAUGUAUUCCCUUGUUUUUCAAUUGGGCGCCUGAUGCCAAAACUUGAAAUGUAUUCCCUUGUUUUCCAGGUGAGCGCCUGAUGCCGAAACUUGGAAUGUACUCCACUGUUUUCUAGGGGAGCGCCUGAUGCCGAAACUGGCAAUGUAGUCCCUUAUUUUCCAAGUGGGCUUUUGAUGCCAAAACU